AUUAAUUAAGAUAUUGGAUAAAUGAUGGACAUACCACAAUUGAGAAAAGCAGUGGUUUAACUUUAUUUUUUAGAGAAAAACUAUUUAAUAACAGAAAUGAACAUUGCGUAAUAGGAAUGAAAUCUGAGCAACAGGAAUGUGUGUGUGUGUGUGUGUGUCCGUGUGUGUGUGUGUGUCCGUGAGUGUGCAUAGCUUGUGUGUGUGAGAGACCGAUUUCUGAAGAUAUGUGCCAUGUGCCCUAGGCUUCUGGGUUCUCUCCAUCUUCAUCUACAAAACAAAAAAUGUUCAGUUGCAGAAACUACAUCCAAUAGUGUUUUAGCUAGAAUUGCACUCAAUACAUGAAAACAAACUUCCCUGACCCUUUCUAAAAAGCCUUCUCUAGUUUGGCCUAGCCUUCUCUCUCACUUUUCAUGUGACGACCUGUGACUGGCCUUGGUAGUGUGAUGAUACACACAAUGUCCUCAAACAAGGACCAAAGAAUAUCUUUGCGGGCUGGCCAGACAAACCUGUUGACCCCAAUCUUUUGCAUACAACGGACUUCAACAUGUGUUUCACUUGUAUCUGUGAUGACACCAGGGUACAGAUUACCAUCGUACUUCAGCACACUCCAUUUGCCAACAACUUCACGACAUUACCAACAACGUCUGUCACUAUGGGAGCCAUGGGAGCUGUCUGCUGGUUGCUGAACUUGAAAUGCUUUGCAUUAAAGCACCCACAGUUCAGAGUUUGUGUUGUUGUGCACAAGCAGCUGACGUCCCUGUAUGUCAGUUCUCCAUGGGCUAGGGACACUACCUAAUGGAUCCUCAUAAUGGACGGAACUGGUGGCUCAUCAUUGGGCAUCUCUGAAACUGCUUUAUCAACUGCUUCCUCGCUGACAAUAAACAACUUGAUUUUUGUGUCUGUCUCUUGCAACACAGCAAACAGGUCUUCAGCAUCAGGAAUGUCUCUUCCUUGGCUGACUAGACUGUCAGCCCUCCUCUUCAGGGCCCCUCCAACACCAUCCCGGGGCACCCUUCCCGUGGCUCGCCUCAAAAAAGUUCCACGUCCCUGCAGUGAAUCCUCGCCUGAGCAGCUCAGUACAACUCAAGAAAAAAUUAGCACUGGUGACAAGUGUUGCCAGAUUGCUGGUGGGCCCUUUUUUCUUGAGAGUGACAGUGCAGAAGCACAUCAAUUGAGGGGUUGCAUACACAUAAAGCACACACGUGUGCAGUGUUGCCUGCUGAUGUGAUGCUCCGGAGUGGACUGACUGUAUUUCUGUGCUGUACUUGCAGAGGUAGUUUUCAGAAAAGUCAACAUAAAUUAAGCAUUCAUGUGCUUUUAAGCUUUGUCUCAAUGCCCUGUAGUGGAUAAACUGAUUGUUGAUGUUAAAAGUGUGUCUCUUAAACCUAUGCAGCAGCAGGUUUAGCUGUUCCAGCAAUUCUUCUAGAGUGGUGUGGAACUCUUUUUUUUUAAUUGUGAUUUUAGAGGUUUUGCCAAUGGGGUCAUGCUGCUUAUCCACAACUACCCACUGAAUAUAAGACACUUUAUUCUCUGGAUUGUACUCUGUAGAGACUGGGCAAGAACGGUCCUUGCACUCCGAACAUUCUCCAUACAUACACUUCAUAUUUUCUGUGUCACAUGAUAUCUCUUUCAAAAGGUCAUCCAGAUUGAUGGUACUGAUUACUAUGAAGUAGUGUAGCUUUUACACAAGAAAACCCAGAUUCUCAAGCAUCCUGCACAUGCACGUGUCCUGAUCACUCCGGGUCGGAUGAACAAUCCAAAAAGGUCUGAGCUUACAGAAGAGUGAGUAAGAGAUGGAGCUUUGUUCUUCAGCCAAAAACUUCCUGUGCAAAUUUUUCAUGGUAUCCAAAAGGAACCGUUUUUGCUUUUUGUUAUUCUUCUGAUUGCCUCUUCCCAGUUCUGAUGCGACUCACGUCAUCCAUUGAGUAAAAACCCCCACUCUGCGUAUCAGACCAUCUGCAACCCUGUUGUUCUGCUUCCUUUAAGCUUCAUGAAACAAAAGGGACUUCUGAGCGGCCACACUUGGAAGCUGUCUCAGCUGUUCGUUUACUUUUGUGCCUGGAGAUGCAUUUUUCUUUUUAAUGUGCUGGAGUUUUUUCUUGUACUUUUGUGCUUUUUUGGAUACUUUUUUCAACAGAACCUUUAGUUCUUUCUUGUUUUUCAGCUUCUUCUCUGCCCUUGAUUAUAUUGCCUAAAAACACAUGCAUCACAAUAAAUUACACACUGCAAUAGUCAGGAAAAUGUACUGUUAUGUUGAUAAAUUACCCUCUAUGACCUGAUUGCUAAAUUCAUAGUGUAAUGUAAUCAUGUCAAUUUUCAUUAAACCGAACCCCUCUAGCACAUUGUCUUUGGCACAUGAUCCAUUUAAUAAAGUAGACCUGGAAGUGCUUGGCUGUGGAUGCACAGCUUGCUCUGGUGAUAACUGGGGGCUGUAUGGCGGGGUGACAAGGUGUUGGAGGGCUUCUUUCCUGUCCCGGAUCCUAUG
Molecule: long non-coding RNA, 2485 nt
Organism: Ictalurus punctatus (channel catfish)
Lineage: Eukaryota; Metazoa; Chordata; Actinopteri; Siluriformes; Ictaluridae
Source: Ensembl